UUGGAUUAAAUCAAUGCGGGUCUCCUACUUUGAAAAUGGAUUCCACAUAAAGUGGUAAGACCUACAUUGAUUUCAUCCAA
This 80-nucleotide microRNA precursor is filed under the name Medicago truncatula (barrel medic). Its description in RNAcentral is "MIR5269 microRNA precursor family". It matches the Rfam family "MIR5269 microRNA precursor family". Lineage: Eukaryota; Viridiplantae; Streptophyta; Magnoliopsida; Fabales; Fabaceae. The record is from Rfam by way of RNAcentral.